UGAAUACGAGAUGCUACGGCGUCGAAGCAGUCUAUGUCAUACUUCCAAGAAAAGCUCGCACUGUCAUAAACAAAUAAUGCCUGUACCAUAACCGACACAGGUGGGUAGGUAGAGUAUACUAAGGGGCGCGAGAUAACUCUCUCUAAGGAACUCGGCAAAAUGACUCCGUAACUUCGGGAGAAGGAGUGCCUUAUUUAUAAGGUUGCAAUAACAAGAUCCAAGCAACUGUUUAUCAAAAACACAGGUCUCCGCUAAGUCGUAAGACGAUGUAUGGGGGCUGACGCCUGCCCAGUGCCAGAAGGUUAAAGAAGUUGGUUAGCAUUCGCGAACCUGAUAACUGAAGCCCUGGUGAACGGCGGCCGUAACUAUAACGGUCCUAAGGUAGCGAAAUUCCUUGUCGGGUAAGUUCCGACCCGCACGAAAGGCGUAAUGAUUUGGAUACUGUCUCGGAGAGGGGCUCGGUGAAAUAGACUUGUCUGUGAAGAUGCGGACUACCUGCACCAGGACAGAAAGACCCUAUGAAGCUUUACUGUAACUUGAGAUUGAAAUUGGACUUUACUUGCGCAGUAUAGGUGGGAGGCGUUGAUAAUAUUCUUGCGGGAUUAUUUGAGCCAUCAGUGAGAUACCACUCUUGUAAUGUUAGAUUUCUAACUUUGUAUCAUUAUCUGGUCAAAGGACAGUUUCAGGCGGGCAGUUUGACUGGGGCGGUCGCCUCCUAAACGGUAACGGAGGCGCACAAAGGUUUCCUCUGAACGGGUAGAAAUCGUAUCUAGAGUGUAAAGGCAUAAGGAAGCUUGACUGUGAGACCUACAAGUCGAGCAGGGACGAAAGUCGGUCUUAGUGAUCUGACGGUGCUGAGUGGAAAGGCCGUCACUCAACGGAUAAAAGUUACUCUAGGAUAACAGGCUGAUCUCCCCCAAGAGUUCACAUCGACGGGGAGGUUUGGCACCUCGAUGUCGGCUCAUCGCAUCCUGGGGCGGUAGUACGUCCCAAGGGUUGGGCUGUUCGCCCAUGAAAGCGGUACGCGAGCUGGGUUCAGAACGUCGUGAGACAGUUCGGUCCAUAUCCGGUGUAGGCGUUAGAAUAUUGAGAGGAGCCUUCUUUAGUACGAGAGGACCGAGAAGGACAUACCUCUGGUGUACCAGUUAUCGUGCCAACGGUAAACGCUGGGUAGCUAUGUAUGGAGUGGAUAACCGCUGAAAGCAUCUAAGUGGGAAGCCCACCUCAAGAUAAG
This 1234-nucleotide ribosomal RNA is filed under the name metagenome. RNAcentral describes it as "bacterial LSU rRNA". It matches the Rfam family "Bacterial large subunit ribosomal RNA", at positions 1564 to 2808 of the family's 2925-position model. The record is from RNAcentral.